Long non-coding RNA from Astatotilapia calliptera (eastern happy), 2774 nucleotides. Lineage: Eukaryota; Metazoa; Chordata; Actinopteri; Cichliformes; Cichlidae. The record is from Ensembl.
CCCGGUAUUGAAUAGCUUUAUUGUUCACACAAAAGCAGAGGAAAAACGCCAAACAUUCAGUUUUAUAGAGCCAUCACAUUGUCAUCAAUAGUUCAGUAAUCAAUAAGAUGACCGUACAUUAGAAUCAGACCUAAGGACAAAAGUUUAAACGAGUUGGGAUUCAUCAAGCAGAAUCAGCAUACUAAAAAAGUAUGAUUUCCUUAGGGAUCAGCAUACUUUUUUAGUAUGCUGAUCCCUAAGGAAAUUAUUAAAUCUGCACCACAGAAAUCACCUUUUUAUUUUAUCACCUCACAAAAUGUUAAAAUCAGAUAAAUCGAUCAUUUUAUUGACCAGAAAUCAGCCACCGGGAACUUCAUGUUUUCAAACUGGAAGUUAAAUAAUCUUAGAAAAAUCAAAAGCUCGGUCACAUUCUGAGGAAAGAUGUUAUGGGAUGGGAAAGUCAGAACUUCUUACGGGAAAUUUUUUAUGGGAAAGUCAGAACUUUGUGGGAAAAAAUUUAUUGUCAGCAGGUCAAAGGUCACAUCGUCCUCUGACAUGUUGCAAGUUUCUUGCCUGGACUGCAUUCAUGUGCUUCUUACACAAAAGCUUUCCUUUUGAAUACCAUGCCCUGGUGCCAAUACUCUGUCACAGGGACAGCAGAACCUUUUAUACUGAUGUCUGAGUGCGGCUUUACCUGCAGCAGAUGAGUGACACUUCUUGUACACAAAACAAAACCUGAUUCAGGUUUCAGGUUCUUUGUAAAACAGACAAACGAUUAAUGGAGGUGUUUCUGUUGCAGUAAAAAGAUUAAAGCCUUUAACAUUUUCCUCUCUUUCUGUAGUACGACCUAAACCUUCCUAAACCUAAACAAGCCCUAAAAGCAUUUAAAGAGAAUCCAGUCAGACCUGCUACUUUAUUUACUGAUGAUACUAAUCAUAACUGAUUCAAUCAGGCCCCAUCUUAUCUUUUUUUUUUGUAUACUUUCCCCUGUAUGUCUGUGAAGGUUCUCAGUCAUCCAGGUUAUCGUAGUCUAAGGAGCUUGGAAAGAAAAGCGUCUGGACUUCUUUAAGUUGCUUUAAGACAUUUCACCUCUCAUCCAACAAGCUUUUUCAGUUCUAAGGGUCAAGUAGUGGAGAGUCCCAGAUUUAAGCCCUGUGGGAGUAAUCUGCCAAGAGGGACAAUGGACCCCCUAAUAAACCUCAACCUAAUCACACAACCCAAGGUGUGAAAACGGGUGUGGGUCACAAUCAGCCAGGGUUUCGGGUGACCUCAUUGUGAAACCUAGAUGUGAGUGGGCGUUAAGGUGUCUGGGAAGGAUCUCAAAACUGGAUUUUCCCUGUAGGGAAAUUACUCUCUGCAUUUAACCGAUUCACUCAGUGAAGCAGUGUGCAGCCAAUCCAGCACCCAGGAAGCAAUGUGUAGGAACGGUACCUUGCUCAGGGAUACCGCAGGUAGCCUUCGGUGGAUUUGAACCCUCAACCUUCUGAUCAUGGGGUGAACGCUCCCUAAUGACCGUAAAGUACCAUAUCACCCCAUUAGAGCACUUCGCUCUCGCUCUGCAGGCCUACUUGUUGUUCCUAGAGUAUUUAAAAGUAGAAUGGGAGGCAGAGCCUUCAGUUUUCAGGCCCCUCUUCUGUGGAACCAGCUUCCAGUUUGGAUUCAGGAGACAGACACUAUCUCUACUUUCAAGAUUAGGCUUCAAACUUUCCUUUUUGCUAAAGCAUAUAGUUAGGGCUGGACCAGGUGACCCUGAAUCCUCCCUUAGUUAUGCUGCAAUAGACGUAGGCUGCCGGGGGAUUCCCAUGAUGCAUUGAGUUUUUCCUUUCCAGUCACCUUUCUCACUCACUAUGUGUUAACAGACCUCUCUACAUUGAAUCAUAUCUGUUAUUAAUCUCUGUCUCUCUUCCACAGCAUGUCUUUAUCCUGUCUUCCUUCUCGCACCCCAACCAAUCAAUGGCCCCGCCCCUCCCUGAUCCUGCCGGAGGUUUCUUCCUGUUAAAAGGGAGUUUUUCUUUCCCACUGUCGUCAAAGUGUUUGCUCAUAGGGGGUCAUAUGCUUGUUGGGGUUAUCAAUGUUAAAUUAUUGUAUGGUCUAACUUACAAUACAAAGCAUCUUGAGGCGACUGGUCCAGUAUCAUAUCAAGUAUUUGAACCUUUGCUUCCAGGUUCUGCUGUGGCCAAUAGCCUCAAGGACUCUGAGCUUCACAUCUCCUCACGUGAACAUUUCUUCAAUGUUCUCCUUGUGAGCUGAGGGUUGUUGUCUCUGCUGCACGAUUCAAUCCACAGGCAGAUGUCCUGCUUCUCAGUCAAAAUCCAUCAUUCCAUCAGUGAUGGUGAGCUGUUCUGGUCUGUAUGCACUGAAGCAGUCCCAAACCAUGACCCCACCAUAGAUGCUUUUGGACUGUGGGAACAUUUUCGUAGCUGUGGUCACUCCAUGCUGCAGGAAGUACAAACUGCCAAAGUUCUUGGAACCUGUUUUUGGUUCUUAGCUGCUAAUUCAGGACUUUUACUCUCUGAGUGACAAAGUGCAUGCUGAUUGAUGCAACAAAUGAAAAAUAUAAAAGUAGGGAAGCUUCUGGGAACCCUUACAGCCCAAUGACCACCAACAAGUCUCUUUCUGAAAUCCUCACUUCUCAUCUGGUCAUGAGUCACAACAUGUUGUGGAAAUCAGACUCAGAUAGAUAGUUCUUUAAAUACUGUACAAUAUAAAGCACCUUAAAGCGCCUUGAGGCUAUUGCUGUUGUGAUUUGGCGCUAUAUAAAUAAAACUGAAUUGAAUUGAAUAUAAACAGCUCAA